AUUGAACGCUGGCGGCAGGCUUAACACAUGCAAGUCGAACGGUAGCAGGAGAAAGCUUGCUUUCUUGCUGACGAGUGGCGGACGGGUGAGUAAUGCUUGGGAAUCUGGCCUAUGGAGGGGGGAUAACGACGGGAAACUGUCGCUAAUACCGCGUAUUAUCGGAAGAUGAAAGUGCGGGACUGAGAGGCCGCAUGCCAUAGGAUGAGCCCAAGUGGGAUUAGGUAGUUGGUGGGGUAAAGGCCUACCAAGCCUGCGAUCUCUAGCUGGUCUGAGAGGGUGACCAGCCACACUGGAACUGAGACACGGUCCAGACUCCUACGGGAGGCAGCAGUGGGGAAUAUUGCGCAAUGGGGGGAACCCUGACGCAGCCAUGCCGCGUGAAUGAAGAAGGCCUUAGGGUUGUAAAGUUCUUUCGGUAUUGAGGAAGGUUGAUGUGUUAAUAGCACAUCAAAUUGACGUUAAAUACAGAAGAAGCACCGGCUAACUCCGUGCCAGCAGCCGCGGUAAUGCGGAGGGUGCGAGCGUUAAUCGGAAUAACUGGGCGUAAAGGGCACGCAGGCGGUUAUUUAAGUGAGGUGUGAAAGCCCCGGGCUUAACCUGGGAAUUGCAUUUCAGACUGGGUAACUAGAGUACUUUAGGGAGGGGUAGAAUUCCACGUGUAGCGGUGAAAUGCGUAGAGAUGUGGAGGAAUACCGAUGCGAAUGCAGCCCCUUGGGAAUGUACUGACGCUCAUGUGCGAAAGCGUGGGGAGCAACAGG
RNAcentral lists this ribosomal RNA (758 nucleotides) under uncultured Haemophilus sp. RNAcentral's name for it is "bacterial SSU rRNA". It matches the Rfam family "Bacterial small subunit ribosomal RNA", at positions 28 to 775 of the family's 1533-position model. Lineage: Bacteria; Pseudomonadati; Pseudomonadota; Gammaproteobacteria; Pasteurellales; Pasteurellaceae. The record is from RNAcentral.